GGGCCGUUAGCUCAGUUGGUAGAGCAGCUGACUCUUAAUCAGCGGGUCGCAGGUUCGAACCCUGCACGGCUCACCA
This 76-nucleotide transfer RNA is filed under the name Rhodobacterales bacterium CG2_30_65_12. RNAcentral's name for it is "tRNA-Lys". It matches the Rfam family "tRNA". From Rfam's summary of the family: Transfer RNA (tRNA) molecules are approximately 80 nucleotides in length. Their secondary structure includes four short double-helical elements and three loops (D, anti-codon, and T loops). Further hydrogen bonds mediate the characteristic L-shaped molecular structure. tRNAs have two regions of fundamental functional importance: the anti-codon, which is responsible for specific mRNA codon recognition, and the 3' end, to which the tRNAs corresponding amino acid is attached (by aminoacyl-tRNA synthetases). tRNAs cope with the degeneracy of the genetic code in two manners: having more than one tRNA (with a specific anti-codon) for a particular amino acid; and 'wobble' base-pairing, i.e. permitting non-standard base-pairing at the 3rd anti-codon position. Lineage: Bacteria; Pseudomonadati; Pseudomonadota; Alphaproteobacteria; Rhodobacterales. The record is from RNAcentral. RNAcentral also lists the same sequence under 1 other name.